CUUCUAAGUUGGUAUCCUUUAAUUAUAUUCUAUUCAUUCUAUUUGAAAUUCUUUUGUAUUAAAAAGGUAGAAGAAAUGUUGUUUCUUAGGAAUCUCAUCUAUGAGCAUGCUGGCGUGUGCUAUUUAGGGAAAGAAUGUAUCUUAUUGAAAUCUUUUUCAUGAGGCAAAUAUGUGAAGCUACUUGUUACAUAAUUAGUCUAAAAUGCAUUUAAAAAAAGUAAUGCUAUUUAUGAGUAAAUAAGCAAAAAUGACAGGUUUAUAUCUUUUUGAUACUUCUCCGUUGUGAAUUUCCUAUAGAAGGCUAGCUUUUUAUCCCUCUGCGAGCGUUUACAAAACGAAUGGGAGAUCCACUUGAAGCAUUUCCUUCUCCCCUUAGGUUCCAGCGACUGGAUUUGUUACGGUUAAUAUAAGGCAAGUUUUCAUUAUAUUUUUCCCCUCCCAUAAAAAUUGUUUAAAUCUUAUUAUUUUAGAUUUCAUUCCUUAGAGCUGUUGAACUUUAGAAAUUAAAUCACCAAAUGCAUGCAAAUCUUUUUCCAACUUCCUUUCCAUCUUAAAGUAACUCUGGCCAGAACACUGUUCUUGCUUGGUGUUCUCUGGGUCUGUAUCUUUUGUUAUUUGUUGCAGCUAUUAUACCGUAUCCCUUUGUUGUGAGUUUUUCCGGGUGAGCUUGAAUCAAACAAGCGGCGUUUUAUUCUACACUGUCUUUGCAUCCUCCUCUUCUUGGUAAAUUUUUUCUCUACUUUCUUCUAUAAUUGAUUAAUUUCUUUGCUAAUAAUCUGUGCGUCAAAUUGAAAGAAACGACCCAAAAUUCAAAAAAUGACUGGUUACGUUGGGGUGUUUUUGUCAGAUUCAUGGAAACCAUUUGCCUCCAUCUCAACCAAACUCAAUUUUCCCGAUAAAUUCUGGUAGCAUUAUUCAUAUUUUGUUCCCUUUUAUACUCCUUUAAAAUUAUUUAUCUCGUAUUAUAUAUUGAAGAAUUUGUUAAUAGGUUUCUGGAAUUCUAUGUUAAUUGGUUGAAAAAUCGACCGUACAAGUGAUGUGAAGCGGAAUUAAUUAUACUGCUUUAUGGUAAGUUAUAUUUUAUGAGUUUCUUGAAUGUGAGAAUUAUGUUAGUUUUCUAUUGCUUUAUGUUUCUCUACAUUUUUCAUUGUUAGAUGAAGCUUAUUGAGUGGUUGUCGGAGGCUGUUGACAGUUAAGUGCAUUCGAGGAUUGUGAUAUGUGAUUUGACGCGGAUUUUGGAAGAGCUGGUUUUUAACAGUCUUGGCUAUAAAUUUUUCAUACUAUAAAUUUUUUAUGUAUAUGUUCCAGUUCGCAUAUGAUAUUGUAGUUGUCCCGUUGACUUGAAUACAAACUUCAACUGUUCAAUUUUCCAAUCGUAUUUUUUUUUCCGGAUCU
RNAcentral lists this long non-coding RNA (1395 nucleotides) under Olea europaea subsp. europaea. The record is from RNAcentral. Lineage: Eukaryota; Viridiplantae; Streptophyta; Magnoliopsida; Lamiales; Oleaceae.